Molecule: ribosomal RNA, 2902 nt
Filed under: Shigella flexneri
Lineage: Bacteria; Pseudomonadati; Pseudomonadota; Gammaproteobacteria; Enterobacterales; Enterobacteriaceae
Description: bacterial LSU rRNA
Rfam family: Bacterial large subunit ribosomal RNA
Source: RNAcentral
UUAAGCGACUAAGCGUACACGGUGGAUGCCCUGGCAGUCAGAGGCGAUGAAGGACGUGCUAAUCUGCGAUAAGCGUCGGUAAGGUGAUAUGAACCGUUAUAACCGGCGAUUUCCGAAUGGGGAAACCCAGUGUGAUUCGUCACACUAUCAUUAACUGAAUCCAUAGGUUAAUGAGGCGAACCGGGGGAACUGAAACAUCUAAGUACCCCGAGGAAAAGAAAUCAACCGAGAUUCCCCCAGUAGCGGCGAGCGAACGGGGAGCAGCCCAGAGCCUGAAUCAGUGUGUGUGUUAGUGGAAGCGUCUGGAAAGGCGUGCGAUACAGGGUGACAGCCCCGUACACAAAAAUGCACAUACUGUGAGCUCGAUGAGUAGGGCGGGACACGUGGUAUCCUGUCUGAAUAUGGGGGGACCAUCCUCCAAGGCUAAAUACUCCUGACUGACCGAUAGUGAACCAGUACCGUGAGGGAAAGGCGAAAAGAACCCCGGCGAGGGGAGUGAAAAAGAACCUGAAACCGUGUACGUACAAGCAGUGGGAGCACGCUUAGGCGUGUGACUGCGUACCUUUUGUAUAAUGGGUCAGCGACUUAUAUUCUGUAGCAAGGUUAACCGAAUAGGGGAGCCGAAGGGAAACCGAGUCUUAACUGGGCGUUAAGUUGCAGGGUAUAGACCCGAAACCCGGUGAUCUAGCCAUGGGCAGGUUGAAGGUUGGGUAACACUAACUGGAGGACCGAACCGACUAAUGUUGAAAAAUUAGCGGAUGACUUGUGGCUGGGGGUGAAAGGCCAAUCAAACCGGGAGAUAGCUGGUUCUCCCCGAAAGCUAUUUAGGUAGCGCCUCGUGAAUUCAUCUCCGGGGGUAGAGCACUGUUUCGGCAAGGGGGUCAUCCCGACUUACCAACCCGAUGCAAACUGCGAAUACCGGAGAAUGUUAUCACGGGAGACACACGGCGGGUGCUAACGUCCGUCGUGAAGAGGGAAACAACCCAGACCGCCAGCUAAGGUCCCAAAGUCAUGGUUAAGUGGGAAACGAUGUGGGAAGGCCCAGACAGCCAGGAUGUUGGCUUAGAAGCAGCCAUCAUUUAAAGAAAGCGUAAUAGCUCACUGGUCGAGUCGGCCUGCGCGGAAGAUGUAACGGGGCUAAACCAUGCACCGAAGCUGCGGCAGCGACGCUUAUGCGUUGUUGGGUAGGGGAGCGUUCUGUAAGCCUGUGAAGGUGUACUGUGAGGUAUGCUGGAGGUAUCAGAAGUGCGAAUGCUGACAUAAGUAACGAUAAAGCGGGUGAAAAGCCCGCUCGCCGGAAGACCAAGGGUUCCUGUCCAACGUUAAUCGGGGCAGGGUGAGUCGACCCCUAAGGCGAGGCCGAAAGGCGUAGUCGAUGGGAAACAGGUUAAUAUUCCUGUACUUGGUGUUACUGCGAAGGGGGGACGGAGAAGGCUAUGUUGACCGGGCGACGGUUGUCCCGGUUUAAGCGUGUAGGCUGGUUUUCCAGGCAAAUCCGGAAAAUCAAGGCCGAGGCGUGAUGACGAGGCACUACGGUGCUGAAGCAACAAAUGCCCUGCUUCCAGGAAAAGCCUCUAAGCAUCAGGUAACAUCAAAUCGUACCCCAAACCGACACAGGUGGUCAGGUAGAGAAUACCAAGGCGCUUGAGAGAACUCGGGUGAAGGAACUAGGCAAAAUGGUGCCGUAACUUCGGGAGAAGGCACGCUGAUACGUAGGUGAAGCGACUUGCUCGUGGAGCUGAAAUCAGUCGAAGAUACCAGCUGGCUGCAACUGUUUAUUAAAAACACAGCACUGUGCAAACACGAAAGUGGACGUAUACAGUGUGACGCCUGCCCGGUGCCGGAAGGUUAAUUGAUGGGGUUAGCGCAAGCGAAGCUCUUGAUCGAAGCCCCGGUAAACGGCGGCCGUAACUAUAACGGUCCUAAGGUAGCGAAAUUCCUUGUCGGGUAAGUUCCGACCUGCACGAAUGGCGUAAUGAUGGCCAGGCUGUCUCCACCCGAGACUCAGUGAAAUUGAACUCGCUGUGAAGAUGCAGUGUACCCGCGGCAAGACGGAAAGACCCCGUGAACCUUUACUAUAGCUUGACACUGAACAUUGAGCCUUGAUGUGUAGGAUAGGUGGGAGGCUUUGAAGUGUGGACGCCAGUCUGCAUGGAGCCGACCUUGAAAUACCACCCUUUAAUGUUUGAUGUUCUAACGUGGACCCGUGAUCCGGGUUGCGGACAGUGUCUGGUGGGUAGUUUGACUGGGGCGGUCUCCUCCUAAAGAGUAACGGAGGAGCACGAAGGUUGGCUAAUCCUGGUCGGACAUCAGGAGGUUAGUGCAAUGGCAUAAGCCAGCUUGACUGCGAGCGUGACGGCGCGAGCAGGUGCGAAAGCAGGUCAUAGUGAUCCGGUGGUUCUGAAUGGAAGGGCCAUCGCUCAACGGAUAAAAGGUACUCCGGGGAUAACAGGCUGAUACCGCCCAAGAGUUCAUAUCGACGGCGGUGUUUGGCACCUCGAUGUCGGCUCAUCACAUCCUGGGGCUGAAGUAGGUCCCAAGGGUAUGGCUGUUCGCCAUUUAAAGUGGUACGCGAGCUGGGUUUAGAACGUCGUGAGACAGUUCGGUCCCUAUCUGCCGUGGGCGCUGGAGAACUGAGGGGGGCUGCUCCUAGUACGAGAGGACCGGAGUGGACGCAUCACUGGUGUUCGGGUUGUCAUGCCAAUGGCACUGCCCGGUAGCUAAAUGCGGAAGAGAUAAGUGCUGAAAGCAUCUAAGCACGAAACUUGCCCCGAGAUGAGUUCUCCCUGACCCUUUAAGGGUCCUGAAGGAACGUUGAAGACGACGACGUUGAUAGGCUGGGUGUGUAAGCGCAGCGAUGCGUUGAGCUAACCGGUACUAAUGAACCGUGAGGCUUAACCUU